AUGGUGUUCAAUUCUGAACAAGAGGCUUAUCAGUUUUACAACGCAUAUUCAUGGGAGAUUGGAUUCGGCAUCAGGCGGGGAAACAAAUACGUCAAUGAUCAGAAUUGCAAAUCAAAGCAAGACAUUCUCUGUUUCUGCAAGGGCAAGGAAACCAAUGUGUUACCUCCUGAACCUAAGAGAUCUAAGGGGAGGCCAAAAACAAAACGAUUGAGAUCUGCUAUAGAGAUAGCUGUUGAGAAGAAUAAAAGGAAGUGCUCUAUAUGUGGGUCUGACACCCAUGCCACUAAAUCAUGCCCGUGUAUUGGAAGUUGGAGCAGCUGA
Molecule: ribosomal RNA, 321 nt
Filed under: Triticum aestivum (bread wheat)
Lineage: Eukaryota; Viridiplantae; Streptophyta; Magnoliopsida; Poales; Poaceae
Description: partial small subunit ribosomal RNA
Source: RNAcentral